GAUGAACGCUAGCGAUAGGCUUAACACAUGCAAGUCGAGGGGCAGCAUGAUCUUAGCUUGCUAAGGUUGAUGGCGACCGGCGCACGGGUGCGUAACGCGUAUGCAACUUGCCUUACAGAGGGGGAUAACCCGUUGAAAGACGGACUAAAACCGCAUACACUUGUAUUAUUGCAUGAUAUUACAAGGAAAUAUUUAUAGCUGUAAGAUAGGCAUGCGUCCCAUUAGCUAGUUGGUGAGGUAACGGCUCACCAAGGCGACGAUGGGUAGGGGAACUGAGAGGUUUAUCCCCCACACUGGUACUGAGACACGGACCAGACUC
This 319-nucleotide ribosomal RNA is filed under the name uncultured bacterium. Its description in RNAcentral is "bacterial SSU rRNA". It matches the Rfam family "Bacterial small subunit ribosomal RNA", at positions 28 to 338 of the family's 1533-position model. The record is from RNAcentral.